This 331-nucleotide ribosomal RNA is filed under the name uncultured bacterium. Its description in RNAcentral is "partial 16S ribosomal RNA". It matches the Rfam family "Bacterial small subunit ribosomal RNA", at positions 338 to 680 of the family's 1533-position model. The record is from RNAcentral.
ACUACGGGUGGCAGCAGUCGAGAAUCAUUCACAAUGGGGGAAACCCUGAUGGUGCGACGCCGCGUGGGGGAAUGAAGGUCUUCGGAUUGUAAACCCCUGUCAUGUGGGAGCAAAUUAAAAAGAUAGUACCACAAGAGGAAGAGACGGCUAACUCUGUGCCAGCAGCCGCGGUAAUACAGAGGUCUCAAGCGUUGUUCGGAAUCACUGGGCGUAAAGAGUGCGUAGGCUGUUUCGGAAGUCGUGUGUGAAAGGCGCCGGAUCAACCCGCGGACGGGCAAUGAAACUGGGAGACUAGAGGAAUUGAGGGGGAACCGGAAGUCUCGGUGUAGCA